RNAcentral lists this transfer RNA (75 nucleotides) under Candidatus Yonathbacteria bacterium. RNAcentral's name for it is "tRNA-Arg". It matches the Rfam family "tRNA". From Rfam's summary of the family: Transfer RNA (tRNA) molecules are approximately 80 nucleotides in length. Lineage: Bacteria; Candidatus Yonathiibacteriota. The record is from RNAcentral.
GCCCUCGUCGUUCAAUGGAUAGGAUAUGGGUUUGCGGUACCCACGAUGUAGGUUCGAUUCCUGCCGAGGGCACCA